This 439-nucleotide ribosomal RNA is filed under the name uncultured bacterium. Its description in RNAcentral is "partial 16S ribosomal RNA". It matches the Rfam family "Bacterial small subunit ribosomal RNA", at positions 339 to 795 of the family's 1533-position model. The record is from RNAcentral.
CUACGGGCCGCUCCAGUGGGGAAUAUUGGACAAUGGGCGCAAGCCUGAUCCAGCCAUGCCGCGUGAGUGAUGAAGGCCCUAGGGUUGUAAAGCUCUUUCACCGGUGAAGAUAAUGACGGUAACCGGAGAAGAAGCCCCGGCUAACUUCGUGCCAGCAGCCGCGGUAAUACGAAGGGGGCUAGCGUUGUUCGGAUUUACUGGGCGUAAAGCGCACGUAGGCGGACUAUUAAGUCAGGGGUGAAAUCCCGGGGCUCAACCCCGGAACUGCCUUUGAUACUGGUAGUCUUGAGUUCGAGAGAGGUGAGUGGAAUUCCGAGUGUAGAGGUGAAAUUCGUAGAUAUUCGGAGGAACACCAGUGGCGAAGGCGGCUCACUGGCUCGAUACUGACGCUGAGGUGCGAAAGCGUGGGGAGCAAACAGGAUUAGAUACCCCGGUAGUC